AGCUCUCUGCUAGACUGAAGCACUUGAUCCAUCUGGUUAAACACUGAUACAAACAGUCCACAAUCCUGGAAUACACUGAAGCUAAUGGAAGAGACAGACAUAAUGGUGGAUCUACCAGGACUGGAAGGAACAAAACUCCUGGAUUCAAACACCACUGAACUGAAGGGGUGUUCAAACUCAAAGAACACAUCUGGAUCUGAAUUUCACUAGUGGGACUAUGUGAUCAUCUACUGUAAAUCAAAAGAACACUUCAAUGGAGCUGUGAUGGUUUACACCAGCUGAAGAUCUGAAUCUGAGUUCCUACCUACUUUUGACUUACAUUUCCUCUAUUGCUUUUUUUAUUUUA
Molecule: long non-coding RNA, 346 nt
Organism: Mauremys reevesii (Reeves's turtle)
Lineage: Eukaryota; Metazoa; Chordata; Testudines; Geoemydidae
Exons: 3
Source: RefSeq, a predicted model, not a curated record